RNAcentral lists this ribosomal RNA (253 nucleotides) under uncultured bacterium. RNAcentral describes it as "partial 16S ribosomal RNA". It matches the Rfam family "Bacterial small subunit ribosomal RNA", at positions 524 to 776 of the family's 1533-position model. The record is from RNAcentral.
UACGUAGGGGGCAAGCGUUGUCCGGAUUUAUUGGGCGUAAAGAGCGUGUAGGCGGCCAUACAGGUCCGUUGUGAAAACUCGAGGCUCAACCUCGAGACGUCGAUGGAAACCGUAUGGCUAGAGUCCGGAAGAGGAGAGUGGAAUUCCUGGUGUAGCGGUGAAAUGCGCAGAUAUCAGGAGGAAUACCAGUGGCGAAGGCGGCGACCUGGGCCAAUACUGACGCUGAGGUGCGAAAGCCAGGGGAGCGAACGGG